Molecule: unclassified non-coding RNA, 109 nt
Filed under: soil metagenome
Description: partial internal transcribed spacer 1
Source: RNAcentral
UUGAUUGGUCGAAAGACCUUAUCAGAUUCCACCACCUCUGUGAACCGUUGACCUCCGGGUUAAUAAUCAAACAUCAGUGUAACGAACGUAAGAGUAUCUUAAUUAAACA